UAAGGAAUAUUGGUCAAUGGACGCAAGUCUGAACCAGCCAUGCCGCGUGAAGGAUGAAGGUCCCCUGGAUUGUAAACUUCUUUUAUCUGGGACGAAAACGGGAUUUUUAUCUCAAUUGACGGUACCAGAGGAAUAAGCACCGGCUAACUCCGUGCCAGCAGCCGCGGUAAUACGGAGGGUGCAAGCGUUAUCCGGAUUCACUGGGUUUAAAGGGUGCGUAGGUGGGCAGGUAAGUCAGUGGUGAAAUCUCCGGGCUUAACCCGGAAACUGCCGUUGAUACUAUUUGUCUUGAAUAUUGUGGAGNUAAGCGGAAUAUGUCAUGUAGCGGUGAAAUGCUUAGAUAUGACAUAGAACACCAAUUGCGAAGGCAGCUUACUACACAAUCAUUGACGCUGAGGCACGAAAGCGUGGGGAUCAAACA
Molecule: ribosomal RNA, 421 nt
Filed under: uncultured bacterium
Lineage: Bacteria
Description: bacterial SSU rRNA
Rfam family: Bacterial small subunit ribosomal RNA
Source: RNAcentral